CAGGAUCCAUCUGUCUCUGCACUCACAAAACUGAGGUUAAGUGACCAUGGGCUCUCCAACUGCAUGCCAGAGAAACUGGAGAGACUUUGACAGUCCAAACUAGCACAGUGCCUGCCACUUGGCUUUCCUCUAUGC
Molecule: small nucleolar RNA, 135 nt
Organism: Phodopus roborovskii (desert hamster)
Lineage: Eukaryota; Metazoa; Chordata; Mammalia; Rodentia; Cricetidae
Product: small nucleolar RNA SNORA44
Exons: 1
Source: RefSeq, a predicted model, not a curated record